GCGGAGGUGGCGAAAUUGGCAGACGCACCAGCUUGAGGUGCUGGCGCCCAAAAGGCGUAGGGGUUCAAGUCCCCUCUUCCGCACCA
This 86-nucleotide transfer RNA is filed under the name Occallatibacter sp. RNAcentral's name for it is "tRNA-Leu". It matches the Rfam family "tRNA". From Rfam's summary of the family: Transfer RNA (tRNA) molecules are approximately 80 nucleotides in length. Their secondary structure includes four short double-helical elements and three loops (D, anti-codon, and T loops). Further hydrogen bonds mediate the characteristic L-shaped molecular structure. tRNAs have two regions of fundamental functional importance: the anti-codon, which is responsible for specific mRNA codon recognition, and the 3' end, to which the tRNAs corresponding amino acid is attached (by aminoacyl-tRNA synthetases). tRNAs cope with the degeneracy of the genetic code in two manners: having more than one tRNA (with a specific anti-codon) for a particular amino acid; and 'wobble' base-pairing, i.e. permitting non-standard base-pairing at the 3rd anti-codon position. The record is from RNAcentral. RNAcentral also lists the same sequence under 1 other name. Lineage: Bacteria; Pseudomonadati; Acidobacteriota; Terriglobia; Terriglobales; Acidobacteriaceae.